AGUGAACGCUGGCGGUAGGCCUAACACAUGCAAGUCGAACGGCAGCACAGUAAGAGCUUGCUCUUACGGGUGGCGAGUGGCGGACGGGUGAGGAAUACAUCGGAAUCUACUUUUUCGUGGGGGAUAACGUAGGGAAACUUACGCUAAUACCGCAUACGACCUACGGGUGAAAGCAGGGGAUCUUCGGACCUUGCGCGAUUGAAUGAGCCGAUGUCGGAUUAGCUAGUUGGCGGGGUAAAGGCCCACCAAGGCGACGAUCCGUAGCUGGUCUGAGAGGAUGAUCAGCCACACUGGAACUGAGACACGGUCCAGACUCCUACGGGAGGCAGCAGUGUGGAAUAUUGGACAAUGGGCGCAAGCCUGAUCCAGCCAUACCGCGUGGGUGAAGAAGGCAUUCGGGUUGUAAAGCCCUUUUGUUGGGAAAGAAAAGCAGCAGGUUAAUACCCAGCUGUUCUGACGGUACCCAAAGAAUAAGCACCGGCUAACUUCGUG
Molecule: ribosomal RNA, 492 nt
Filed under: uncultured bacterium
Lineage: Bacteria
Description: partial 16S ribosomal RNA
Rfam family: Bacterial small subunit ribosomal RNA
Source: RNAcentral